RNAcentral lists this ribosomal RNA (253 nucleotides) under uncultured bacterium. Its description in RNAcentral is "partial 16S ribosomal RNA". It matches the Rfam family "Bacterial small subunit ribosomal RNA", at positions 524 to 776 of the family's 1533-position model. The record is from RNAcentral.
UACGUAGGGUGCAAGCGUUAAUCGGAAUUACUGGGCGUAAAGCGUGCGCAGGCGGUUGUGCAAGACCGAUGUGAAAUCCCCGGGCUUAACCUGGGAAUGGCAUUGGUGACUGCACGGCUAGAGUGUGUCAGAGGGGGGUAGAAUUCCACGUGUAGCAGUGAAAUGCGUAGAGAUGUGGAGGAAUACCGAUGGCGAAGGCAGCCCCCUGAGAUAACACUGACGCUCAUGCACGAAAGCGUGGGGAGCAAACAGG